UGAAAGUACCCUGAGUCGUCAGACAAAGGGAUAGCAUCCAAGUAUGUUUCCAAGAAAAACUUCUAAGCUUCAGGUGAGUAUUACCCGUACCGCAAACCGACACAGGUAGACAAGUAGAAUAUACUAAGGCGCUCGAGUGAUCCGUGGCUAAGGAACUAGGCAAAUUAACCCUGUAACUUCGGGAUAAAGGGUGCUCACAGCAAUGUGAGCCGCAGAGAAAUGGCGGUGGCGACUGUUUAACAAAAACACAGGGCUUUGCAAAAACGAAAGUUGAAGUAUAAGGCCUGACACCUGCCCGGUGCUGGAAGGUUAAGAGGAGAGGUUAGGAGCAAUCCAAAGCUUUGAAUCGAAGCCCCAGUAAACGGCGGCCGUAACGAUAACGGUCCUAAGGUAGCGAAAUUCCUUGUCGGGUAAGUUCCGACCUGCACGAAUGGUGUAACGAUCUCCGCUCUGUCUCAGCCACGAGCUCGGUGAAAUUGUGGUAUCAGUGAAGACGCUGAUUACCCGCAACGGGACGGAAAGACCCCAUGCACCUUUACUAUAGCUUAACAUUGAGUUCGGGUAAGUGAUGUGUAGAAUAGGUAGGAGGCUUUGAAGUGGUGGCGCUAGCCAUCAUGGAGCCGAAAUGUGAAAUACUACCCUUUACUUACUAGAAUUCUAACUCUGCAAAGAGGACAUUGUUUGGUGGGUAGUUUGACUGGGGUGGUCGCCUCCGAAAGGGUAUCGGAGGCUUUCAAAGGUUCGCUCAGUACGCUUGGUAACCGUACGUAGAGUGCAAUAGCAUAAGCGAGCUUGACUGUGAGGCCGACAAGCCAAGCAGGUACGAAAGUAGGAUAUAGUGAUCCGGUGGUUCCGCAUGGAAGGGCCAUCGCUCAUAGGAUAAAAGGCACGCUGGGAUAACAGGCUGAUCCCUCCCAAGAGCUCAUAUCGACGGGGGGGUUUGGCACCUCGAUGUCGGCUCGUCACAUCCUGGGGCUGGAGAAGGUCCCAAGGGUUCGGCUGUUCGCCGAUUAAAGUGGCACGCGAGCUGGGUUCAGAACGUCGUGAGACAGUUCGGUCCCUAUCUGUUGUGGGCGUUAGAAAAUUGAGGGGCCCUGACUCUAGUACGAGAGGACCGAGUCGGACAAACCGCUAGUGUACCUGUUGUGGCGCCAGCUGCACCGCAGGGUAGCUAUGUUUGGAUGAGAUAAGCGCUGAAAGCAUCUAAGUGCGAAACUCACCUCAAGAUAAGUUUUUCUUUAUAAGGAUCGUGGUAGACUACCACGUUGAUAGGCUACAGAUGUAAAGGCAGUAAUGUCAAAGUCGAGUAGUACUAAUUGUUC
RNAcentral lists this ribosomal RNA (1322 nucleotides) under metagenome. Its description in RNAcentral is "bacterial LSU rRNA". It matches the Rfam family "Bacterial large subunit ribosomal RNA", at positions 1563 to 2910 of the family's 2925-position model. The record is from RNAcentral.